Molecule: ribosomal RNA, 253 nt
Filed under: uncultured bacterium
Lineage: Bacteria
Also listed under: 1 other name
Description: partial 16S ribosomal RNA
Rfam family: Bacterial small subunit ribosomal RNA
Source: RNAcentral
UACAUGGGGUGCAAACGUUGCUCGGAAUUAUUGGGCGUAAAGCGCGCGUAGGCGGUUACUUAAGUCGGAUGUGAAAGCCCUCGGCUUAACUGAGGAAGUGCACCCGAAACUGAGUAGCUAGAGUACGAAAGAGGGUCGCGGAAUUCCCGGUGUAGAGGUGAAAUUCGUAGAUAUCGGGAGGAACACCGGUGGCGAAGGCGGCGACCUGGGUCGAGACUGACGCUGAGGCGCGAAAGCGUGGGGAGCAAACAGG